ACAAUGCCAAAAGCACCAAAGCCUGGUUCAAUGACCAUGGGAUUACUGUGCUUGAUUGGCCAGCUAACUCACAUGACCUGAAUCCCAUAGAGAAUCUAUGGGGUAUUGCCAAGAGAAAGAUGAGAGACAUGAGACUGAACAAUGCAGAAGAGCUGAAGUCUGCUGUUGAAGCAUCAUGGUCUUCCAUAACACCUCAGCAGU
Molecule: non-coding RNA, 201 nt
Organism: Pelobates cultripes (western spadefoot toad)
Lineage: Eukaryota; Metazoa; Chordata; Amphibia; Anura; Pelobatidae
Source: the annotation of a GenBank genome assembly